GAAGCCAUAAUAAGCCGAAAAAAUAAAAUAUAAUAAAUAAAAGAAAAGAGUACAAAAUGGAUAGCCAAUGAAAUAGAAGAGGAAGAGAUACCCGUUACCCAUGAGCUAUGAUUAUUGAAAACAAAAGCCAAUGAUCUCCACUGAUGUAGCAUUCAGAAGGAAGAUGAUGAGAUUCCUUUUGCCGGCCGCACCACGCUUCGGAGAUAUAACAUAAUUAAUCAGAAGACAAAAUAAUAAUGAUCAAUUUAAAUAUUAAUUGUUAUCCUGCGAUAAUAUAAAAAAGCCAUAAAGAUUGAGCGGUUUUAAGGUUUUGUAACCCCACCACCAUGCGCGAUCCUUCUGCUUUAUUAUUUGUGAUCUGAUAAAGAAAAAGGUUAGCUAGUGGGCAGCAGCAACCUAGAAGAAGAUUAAAGUAAAUAUUGAUGAUAUGCGACUGCCACCGAAACCGGGAAAGCGAUUUGCACCCGUUAUUAAUUUUGAGACACAGAGAAUAGAGCAUCUGCAUUGAAAGCAUCAUGGAUCCCACAGGCAUAC
RNAcentral lists this long non-coding RNA (534 nucleotides) under Citrus sinensis (sweet orange). RNAcentral describes it as "long non-coding RNA (CSIN_LNC002867)". Lineage: Eukaryota; Viridiplantae; Streptophyta; Magnoliopsida; Sapindales; Rutaceae. The record is from RNAcentral.